UUUUUUUUUUUUUUUUUUUCUGUGUAGGCAGAUUCCUUUCAUUUGUUUACUGAGGGAUAAUCACCUUGUUUGAGACUGAGAAAAAAUAAAAAAGAAUGCCUUUAGGAGUUUAGAAAAAGUGGUAUGCACAGCUGACUAAAGGUCAACUGAUAUAAUGCCUAAAAACAGGGUCAAGCCAAGUCCCUGGAAAGCCCAGAAAAAUCCAGAAUUAAUUCUCAACAAGAAACAGCAAAAGUCUCCCCAAAUAAAUACAAGGUCCACUUGACAGACUAUAAAACACCUUUGAAAACAGUGGUUUUAAAAGUAGAACCUUGAAAAGUUCUUCUGCUACAUUAAGUGGGAAAAAAGCAGAUACGAAAUUUUAGUAUGUACGUUACAACCAUGUGAAAACGUACCCCUAAUGAAGACGGUAAGGCUUACAUUAGGGUAUGAGAGCCUUUUUCCAUGGGGUAGGAGUUCCCUGCUUUUGUAAUAGAGGUGUGUGUGGGUUUCAGUUUGAUUAGAAAGAUGGAGGAAGCCAUUUAAAUAGAUUUUCAAGGAAAUAAUAAAAUUUUGCUCUGGGAUGCUUUGGAGGAGGCAAAGGUGGUGAGGAGUCAUGGUGGUAUCUUGAGAGACCAGCAGGCUGCCUGGGGUGAGGCCAGGCCAGGGGAGAGCUGAGCUGGGGAGAGAAGGCAGGGCCCUGAAAGGACUUGGGACCCGACCCCAUGGGCAAAGGGAGGGCACUGUGGUCUUUGAAGAGGAAUGGCCUGGUCCAAGCUGAGUUCUUCACUGUUGGCUCUCGGGCAGGAGACCCUCAGCGCUCAGUGCAGAAGCUAGGCUCUGAGUCUGGACAGGAAAUGAAAAGCAGGGACAAGAAGCCUGCACAAGGGAGGAAGAACCACACUUCUCUGCUUCCUGGAAAAAAAAGUCACUCAGCGAUCUGGACAAAUAGCCUUGGUGUCACCUGCCCACUCAGCUGAUCCUAGAGAAGCUGCCUGGAGAGGUGCUGGGAACCGUUUGUGCUAACACACAAAAACGCCCAGAUGCCAACAGAACACAGAAAGAGGUUGGUCCUAGUGAAAUUCUGAGACUUGGGGCAGAACUAUAAAGAAAAGCCAGACUUUUCAACUUAUAGAAACCCCAACUUAGUGAGGAAAUGAGUUGGAGGAGAAAUAGAAGCAGGCUUAAUGUGAGACAUGCACUCUGAGUGUUCAGGAGCAUCUCUCAUUUCCCUGCUCCUAAAGAUGCUUCAGCAACAGUGAGUGUGUUUUUCUCUUUCCUACUCCUGAUACUGGGCCUCUUCUGACCAGCCUUCCCCAUCCUCUCCCUGCACUGCACAUCUGCUGAAUGCUGGUCAUCCCAUAAUAAGACAGGUAGACUUGACUGCACAAGUACAGCACUGUCUUCCCGUGGUCUCUAUUUUUCCUUGUGCAUCCCAUCAGAAGAAAACAAACCAAGGGGAGUUCCUGUCGUGGCGCAGCAGAAAGAAAGCUGACUAGUAUCCAUGAGGACACAGGUUCGAUCCCUGGUUUCACUCAGUGGGUUAAGGAUCCAGCGUUGCCAUGAGCUGUGGUGUAGGUCACAGACGUGGCUUGGAUUUGAUGUGGCUCUGGCUAUGGCAUAGGCUGGCAGCUAUAGCUCCAAUUCCACCCCUAGCCUGGGAACCUCCAUAGCUGCACAUGUGGCCCUAAAAAGACAAAAAAAAACAAACAAGCUAUGUAUACCUGCAGUGUGUGUUACACAGCAAUUAUGUAGUGAUUACUAAGCCUGUCUAUUAAGCCCUAGUAAAUCUGUCUUCAUUUUUAAAAAGUUAAUAAGACAUGGAUCAACUUUUGACACUUUCAUCUUAUGCUCCAAGCAAUGGUCUUUGGGCCAUGAGAACAGCCACAUUUACCCAAAGGGCAAGGGAUGGGAAAUCUACGGGCGCGCCCAGGUUGGACUGGACCCGGCCCUUCUGUCGUGUGGGAAAGACCCUCUUUCAAGGAUGCACCCGAGUUUUCUCGGAAGCCAGCCGAGUGGGCAGUCACUGUUUGCUGCUGCAAAUUCUCCAGUCCAGGCACAUCUCAACAACAUAAAGGUUCCAAACUGCUCGUGUCCCUAUUUCUUCCAUUCAAGACAGCCUCAACCACGAGCAAGUUUUCCAUCAGCCUGUUUCUGGAUGGAUUUCAUAACCAUGGAUGAUCUCCACCCUGCUCCAACUGUCGUACUAGGAGUUAUAAAAUGCUGAUUUUCUAAUGUUUCAUUCUUUUUGCAUUCGUUAGCUGUGAUUUCUCCAUAAUUAACAACUUUCUCUCAUCAACUAUUUGAUGAUCUUCAAAUACAAUUUGUCCUAGAAAGGCAAGAUCAAAGGCUGGAUUGUUUCCCUUUAUUUUUCGGAGUAAUGAGGUGGUGUCCUAGCAACCUGCAAAGGUGAUCGAUUGAUUUUGGGAGUUGUUCUUCUCUUGGGCUGUCAUUCUCAUGAACUAUUUUCCAUUGGUUUAAUUUCAGUCUGCUGAAAUCAUCCUUUCUGAUGUUCAAACCACCCUAUCUUUGGCUCCUGUGUCCUUCUGAUUCCACCCCAGGGGUCUUUCUUAGCUUCCUUGCUUUCUGGUAUGACAAGAUGUCCCAUCUUGAAUGUUUCCUGCCCUAGACCUGGAACGAUCUAUUUCUUCUAGGAUGAGGUUCCUUUACUGUGAAAGUUAUUUAGGGAAUCCAAAUAUGAAUGUUAAGGAUACUCACUGCCACUGGAUUGUCUUUAUUUUGGUCCUUUUCUAAAUAAAGAGUUAGGAAACAUUUCCUUUUUAAAGAGAAAAACAGAAGUUCAUAUUGCUAUUUCCUAUUCGAGCUGAAUCUUAUACAGUCUACACUU
This 2827-nucleotide long non-coding RNA is filed under the name Sus scrofa (pig). Its description in RNAcentral is "lncRNA (ENSSSCG00030048621.1)". Lineage: Eukaryota; Metazoa; Chordata; Mammalia; Artiodactyla; Suidae. The record is from RNAcentral.